Molecule: long non-coding RNA, 908 nt
Organism: Mauremys reevesii (Reeves's turtle)
Lineage: Eukaryota; Metazoa; Chordata; Testudines; Geoemydidae
Exons: 4
Source: RefSeq, a predicted model, not a curated record
UCCACCAGCCAUGGGCAACAUAAGCACUCGCCUCUAGGCCUACACAGGCCCUGCUGUCCCCCUGCAGGUUAGUGAUAAGCAUACUCCAAUCCUCAAGCCCUCCAAGCAUCUCACUGGAGUGCCUGGCCCCUGGACUUUCACUGUAUUCACCAGCCCGCUGCUUCCAAACAAACACUACAGCCUCCCACAUUACAAAAGGUGGGGAAAGAGGUGAACAGUGUUUUGGGGCUAAAAUACUCAUAUACAUCCUCCGCCGCUAAAACCAGAGGGACACCUUCCCCUCCUUUCCACUCCAUGGGCUAGUGGAAGCUCAAUAAGCAGAGCUCCUCCCUCCUCAUUGCCUGGAUGCUACAUCAGGCAAGGAAUCUGAAGUGCAUACAGCAGGAGUAGUAUAUGGAGCGCCAAGCCUCUAACACCAGCAGGGGAAGCAGCAGCACCACCUGAUGGGGGAAGAAGAAUUAUCCAAGCUGGGAGUUCUCCAUCUGCCUCAGACAGUGAAAUGCAAUCUCACCAUGUGACAUCACCACCCACAAUGACACACAACCCCAGAAUUGGUGAAGUCCCCCUCCUGGUCUGAGGUAGACAAUGCUGGUGAACAAGCAAUGUCCUGGACCUGUGGUAGAUUUACAUUGGCCUUUCAAGAGCUGAAUUAAUGUACACAGGUGGGGAUUUGAGUGACAAGAUGAUGAGUCGGCUCCUGAGUCCGCACACCCUGUUACAGACAUAUGCUGUUCUUUGCCAUGAACAUGGAAGCAAGGCCAAAGGAGGAGGAGUUACUGCCACGUGACCUGCUAGUGUUCUGAAUAACACCUUGCAUACAUGGACCUCAGUUUGGGAACUGCUGCCAUAGACCAAGACAACCAGAUUGUUUAAUCUAAAAUAAAAGUAACUAUAAAGAACUAAAGUCA